Molecule: ribosomal RNA, 575 nt
Filed under: Meyerozyma guilliermondii
Lineage: Eukaryota; Fungi; Ascomycota; Pichiomycetes; Serinales; Debaryomycetaceae
Description: LSU rRNA
Rfam family: Eukaryotic large subunit ribosomal RNA
Source: RNAcentral
UGCCUUAGUAGCGGCGAGUGAGCGGCAAAGCUCAAAUUUGAAAUCUGGCGCCUUCGGUGUCCGAGUUGUAAUUUGAAGAUUGUAACCUUGGGGUUGGCUCUUGUCUAUGUUUCUUGGAACAGGACGUCACAGAGGGUGAGAAUCCCGUGCGAUGAGAUGCCCAAUUCUAUGUAAGGUGCUUUCGAAGAGUCGAGUUGUUUGGGAAUGCAGCUCUAAGUGGGUGGUAAAUUCCAUCUAAAGCUAAAUAUUGGCGAGAGACCGAUAGCGAACAAGUACAGUGAUGGAAAGAUGAAAAGAACUUUGAAAAGAGAGUGAAAAAGUACGUGAAAUUGUUGAAAGGGAAGGGUUUGAGAUCAGACUCGAUAUUUUGUGAGCCUUGCCUUCGUGGCGGGGUGACCCGCAGCUUAUCGGGCCAGCAUCGGUUUGGGCGGUAGGAUAAUGGCGUAGGAAUGUGACUUUACUUCGGUGAAGUGUUAUAGCCUGCGUUGAUGCUGCCUGCCUAGACCGAGGACUGCGAUUUUAUCAAGGAUGCUGGCAUAAUGAUCCCAAACCGCCCGUCUUGAACCAACGGACCA